ACCUCAAAGUCCCAGCCUAGAAGUAGAUUCACCCACUUUAAACCAGGCAAAAAUAAUCUCUCAUAGGUGUGCCUUCCAUUUCUGGAUUGUUGUUCCUUCCAGAUGGAGUCAAGCUGACAACCAGGAGCGGCCAUCACAGGUGGGCAGAGAAAGAGGGCUGGAGAGAGAGAUCUGAGUGAGGUAAGAAAUCCAAGCCAGGAUGCACAUAGGAAUCCACUGUGGGAUAUUCCAGAGCCACUGAGGAGACAAAGCACACAUGAUUGGUGUGGAGCUUUGACCACGAGCUUUAGGACUUUAAUUUCCUGCAGGAGGCCAGAGCACAAUAGAGAUGUUUCUAUAUCUGCAGGUGCUACAGUCAGAGGGAGUCCAGGUCAGUCCAUCUCCAAGAUCUUACCAGGACCCCACCAACGCCAAGGCAGAAUCAUCGUCAACUUCCCUGUCUUGAUCAGUGCUAAAGAGAGCAGCUGUUUCCACUCCCUCCUUGCUGCUUCCCACCCACUGGAUAACAAGUUCUGUCACAAACUUGGACCAAGGACAUAUUGAGCAGUGGCCUUUCAGUUUUACUGUAGUACCACAAAGGAGACAACCAGGGAUGGAGAGAUGGCUCAGCUAUUAAGAUCACUUGUUAUUGGACGCAGGUUCUAUUCCCAGCACCCACAUGGUGGUUCACAACCAUCGGUAAGUCUAGUUCCAGGGGACGCAACACCUUCUUUUGAACUCUGUAUACCAAGCACUCAUGUGGUACACAUAACAUGCAGGUAAAACAUUCACUGUAAAAUAAAAAACACAAAUCAAAUUGAGAGAGAGAGAGAGAGAGAGAGAGAGAGAGAGAGAGAGAGAGAGAGAGACC
This 850-nucleotide long non-coding RNA is filed under the name Mus musculus (house mouse). RNAcentral's name for it is "predicted gene, 48654". Lineage: Eukaryota; Metazoa; Chordata; Mammalia; Rodentia; Muridae. The record is from RNAcentral.